RNAcentral lists this ribosomal RNA (372 nucleotides) under uncultured organism. RNAcentral describes it as "bacterial SSU rRNA". It matches the Rfam family "Bacterial small subunit ribosomal RNA", at positions 526 to 896 of the family's 1533-position model. The record is from RNAcentral.
CGUAGGGUGCGAGCGUUAAUCGGAAUUACUGGGCGUAAAGUGUGCGCAGGUGGCCGCGCAAGUCGAGUGUGAAAUCCCCGAGCUUAACUUGGGAAUUGCGCUCCAAACUACGUGGCUCGAGUGUGGCAGAGGAAGGUGGAAUCCCACGUGUAGCGGUGAAAUGCGUAGAGAUGUGGAGGAACACCGAUGGCGAAGGCAGCCUUCUGGGCCAACACUGACGCUCAUGCACGAAAGCGUGGGGAGCAAACAGGAUUAGAUACCCUGGUAGUCCACGCCCUAAACGAUGAUGACUAGUUGUUGGGGGAGUUAAAUCCCUUAGUAACGCAGCUAACGCGUGAAGUCAUCCGCCUGGGGAGUACGGUCGCAAGAUUA